AUGGUCACAAGGCAGCAGCUUUACCACUGCGCAAAGGCUCCCCUUCGGAUUGAGGUCCCUUCUUGCUCAAAAAUAAUAAUCCAGGAUCUUACUCGUGCUAAUGAGCGCACUAUUGAGACUCCCAUGGAACUCAAUGUUCACCUCCCUACUUCUGAUGUUGAUCCAUUGUCUAAUCCGGCGCUUUAUCAACAUUUUGUUGGGAGUCUUGUCUAUCCGCCUGACACUCACCCGGAAGAAGAAACAAACUACAGUCCCCCCGUUCGAGUGCACCUCUUCCCGCGGCGCCGUCGCUCCACUUUCCUACUCUACCCUCCACUAUAUGUGCUACUGAUGUUGAUCCAUUGUCUAAUCUGA
This 354-nucleotide ribosomal RNA is filed under the name Triticum aestivum (bread wheat). Its description in RNAcentral is "partial small subunit ribosomal RNA". The record is from RNAcentral. Lineage: Eukaryota; Viridiplantae; Streptophyta; Magnoliopsida; Poales; Poaceae.